This 66-nucleotide transfer RNA is filed under the name Goera fissa. Its description in RNAcentral is "tRNA-Leu". It matches the Rfam family "tRNA". Rfam says of the family: Transfer RNA (tRNA) molecules are approximately 80 nucleotides in length. Lineage: Eukaryota; Metazoa; Arthropoda; Insecta; Trichoptera; Goeridae. The record is from RNAcentral.
UCUAAUAUGGCAGAAAUAAUGCAUUGGUCUUAAACCCCAAUUAUAAAGAAUAAUCUUUUUUUAGAA